RNAcentral lists this ribosomal RNA (505 nucleotides) under uncultured bacterium. Its description in RNAcentral is "partial 16S ribosomal RNA". It matches the Rfam family "Bacterial small subunit ribosomal RNA", at positions 28 to 507 of the family's 1533-position model. The record is from RNAcentral.
GACGAACGCUGGCGGCGUGCCUAAUACAUGCAAGUAGAACGCACAGUUUAUACCGUAGCUUGUUACACCAUAGACUGUGAGUUGCGAACGGGUGAGUAACGCGUAGGUAACCUGCCUGGUAGCGGGGGAUAACUAUUGGAAACGAUAGCUAAUACCGCAUAAUAUUAAUUAUUGCAUGAUAAUUAAUUGAAAGGUGCAAUUGCACCACUACCAGAUGGACCUGCGUUGUAUUAGCUAGUAGGUGAGGUAACGGCUCACCUAGGCGACGAUACAUAGCCGACCUGAGAGGGUGAUCGGCCACACUGGGACUGAGACACGGCCCAGACUCCUACGGGAGGCAGCAGUAGGGAAUCUUCGGCAAUGGACGAAAGUCUGACCGAGCAACGCCGCGUGAGUGAAGAAGGUUUUCGGAUCGUAAAGCUCUGUUGUAAGAGAAGAACGGGUGUGAGAGUGGAAAGUUCACACUGUGACGGUAUCUUACCAGAAAGGGACGGCUAACUACGUG